UUUGAAAAACGAAUCAAAGAA
This 21-nucleotide non-coding RNA is filed under the name Caenorhabditis elegans. The record is from RNAcentral. Lineage: Eukaryota; Metazoa; Nematoda; Chromadorea; Rhabditida; Rhabditidae.